This is a long non-coding RNA of Mangifera indica (mango), 509 nucleotides long. RefSeq lists it as uncharacterized. Lineage: Eukaryota; Viridiplantae; Streptophyta; Magnoliopsida; Sapindales; Anacardiaceae. The transcript has 2 exons. The record is from RefSeq and is a predicted model, not a curated record.
UUUUUUCUCUCACUCCCAACGGUUGUGUCGGUGCUCGUGCUCAUCCUCUGCUUCUUCUUACAUCAAUUCGGGGAGCAGAUUCAGUUCCCGAUCCAUUAAGCCGAAUCGUUCCCAGUGACCGCUUCACUGCUCUUCACUUCAAUUUCUCCCUGCCCAGGAUGGCGAAGAAACGCAGAGUUCUGGAGAUUCAGUCGAAACUUUUCAGUGAAAGAGCUCGAACUCCUGCCGACACAAUCAUGUCUGUAGUCUCAAAAUCAAGCGGUGAAGAGGAAGUUUAAGUCCAUCCUUCCAAUUACCGCAAGCUCCUCCAUCAUUGGUUCGUUGUUGCCAACAAGGAAGAACUCCAUUUCUCCAAUUUCUCUCCCAUCGUGCACUGGUCCCAAUACGAGAUUGUUGAAAGGGUUAUGGAGAUGUGUCUGGAAACGUCUAAUGUCAUACAUGGUGGUUUUGACAAGGGAAGUUUCUUUUUUUAGUUACUGUAAAGUUCAUGCUUUUGUUGAUGCUUUAUU